GCAUCUGUCUGUGGUGGUAAAUUAACAGGCACAAAAAGUAUAGCUGAAAACUCUCUAGGCAAGUAGUGUGGUUUGCAAUUUAUCACAAUAUACUCUACUUCAGGCGAGCAAAAUCUAGAGACUUCCUUAGAUUUCGUGCACCAGCUGUUGUUUACAAAUAUGCACAGUCCGCCCCCCCUCGUCUUACCGGAGUGUGCUGUUCCAUCUUGCCGGUGCAGCGUAUAUCCCGCUAGCUGAAUAUCCAUGUCGUCAUUUAGCCACGAUUCCAUGAAACAUAGGAUAUUACAGAUUUUGGAUGUCCCGUUGAUCCUAACGAGGCAUCCCGCCCGGUGUCCUCUGUUCCUGCGUCUCUUCCUCUUGGGAUGUUGGCCUUGUCUGGUGUUCAGAGUAUGUCCUGUGCAUCCAGCUUAUUGAAGAAAAAAAACUGUGUCUAAUCCAAGGUAAUGUCAACUCUCCCAGCUCUUACCGACACCUACCAUUGAGCCCUCCAUUUACUGUAACCAGCAUCCUUACCCAGUGAGAAACCGACCGACACCGGACCUCCAUGGAUGUUGAAAAGUAGUUAAACUUAGUUCAGUCCGCCCUGGCCUGGAUUUCAACGUCCACAGACGUUUUUUGGAACGGUCCGGACAAGCUUUAAUUUAAACUUCCUGAUCUAAUCUAAUCAGACUCCUAUUUUUCACAAGUUUGGAGAGUACAGUAAAGUUUUUAAAAAGCUCAAUACAGUACAGUCCUGUACAGUAAACUAUAAUUCAUUACAGUACACAGUAGAGCACACUGAGUUGAGCACACUAAUGUACUGUACUCUACUAAACGACUUUACUGUAAUGUCCAAACUUGUGAAACAUAAAACAUUUAUGAUUGGUUCAGAGUUGGUUCGGUCCAAACAAAUUUGGUCUUGUUUGGAGGCAGAGCUCAUUAAAAUAAUAGCCAGUGUGUAGAAUAGUACCCACAUAUGCAAAGGAGGAUAUUGCAUAUUUCUACAGUUGUGUACCUAUUUAGGAGACAUCUCCAUGAAAAGAAUGACAUUCAUUUGAUAAUUAUGCUGUUCUAUGUAGUACAGUUCAGGGAUCCAUGAUGAAAUUCCAUUACCGCAAUUCUGUUACCAGGUGUAAAUCUACUUCACUGUAGUUCAAUAACAAAAAGGAGAUGUUUUCAAACUCAAGAUGUCAUGUCAUAGCUGACACCCCCCACCCCAUACGUUGAAAUGUACCAUCCAAUCAAAUCUUGCAGCUGGUAGCCAGAGGACCAUUUAAACUGUUUUUGCAAUACAACAUUCUCCAGACCUCUAGGCAUGACAACUAAGUGAUUUUGGCAGUAUGGCAACACAAGACUAGCCCAUACGCAAUUGCCAAUAGUUGGCGUAUUGUUGAGUACAGAAAAUAUAGGCCUAUAGAGUACCACAGUAUGGGUCAUAAUACCCAUAAAAUCUAGCGGUAAUUUUCGAAUUGGAGCAUAAAUAGAGCUGAAUAUAUUGAUGUCACCUUUCCAAGAGAGAUUUAAAUGGUUAUCAAAACGUCACGCCAGGUUAAGCCUACACAAAACAAAUCCCCUAUGUGAAAAUGGAUGGUGGAAAAACGAUUCGAACCAUUUCCCGUUUUAUGGGUAUGGUGACACGUCAACUGUGGGCCUUUAUAGCCCAUUAUCACUAAUAAUUUGUAGUGAAAUGGAAAAUCAAUAUAAACUGAUGUGGAAAAGUGUAGCCUAUCUGUGUUUCAGAAUGCGCUUAGCCUUCUGGAAUUCAUCGGGAAUUCAAAAAAACAAGAAACUUUAAGUAUAAAACAAUUACAACAAGAAAAACGGAAACAGUAUAUCAAUAGUAAAUACUCACCUUUCGC
Molecule: long non-coding RNA, 1838 nt
Organism: Salvelinus fontinalis (brook trout)
Lineage: Eukaryota; Metazoa; Chordata; Actinopteri; Salmoniformes; Salmonidae
Exons: 3
Source: RefSeq, a predicted model, not a curated record